AAACUUGAGCUAAUACCGGAUACGCCCUUACGGGGAAAGAUUAUUGCCGAAGGAACGGCCCGCGUCCGAUUAGCUAGUUGGUGAGGUAAUGGYUCACCAAGGCGACGAUCGGUAGYUGKUCUGAGAGGAUGACCAGCCUCACUGGGACUGAGACACGSCCCAGAYUCCUACGGGAGGCAGCAGUGGGGAAUAUUGGACAAUGGGCGCAAGCCUGAUCCAGCCAUGCCGCGUGRAUGAUGAAGGCCCUAGGGUUGUAAAGUCCUUUUAACVGGGAAGAUAAUGACSGUACCCGUAUAAUAAGCCCCGGCUAACUUC
Molecule: ribosomal RNA, 315 nt
Filed under: uncultured Pseudomonadota bacterium
Lineage: Bacteria; Pseudomonadati; Pseudomonadota
Description: uncultured proteobacterium partial 16S ribosomal RNA
Rfam family: Bacterial small subunit ribosomal RNA
Source: RNAcentral